GCAGCACCAUGGAUGGACCUAGAGAUGAUCCUGCUAAGUGAAUUCCCACAGAGCCAUGAUGCGACCCGGCUCAGAAAUAAUGGGACGUCUUCCUGGAAGUGUGCUCGUUUCUAGAGGGAUUAUGUAUGUUGACGUUAGAAAAGUCUAGACCCACCAGUAGGCACCCUUCUGGGUACUAUCUCCUAACGGAAAUUGUAUCCGAGCGGUUGAGCACCACAUCCUGGAAACUCAUCCCCUCCAUCCUUCCAGAAUUUAGCAAGAAACUAGCUCAGUGGGUCUGAGUUAUGCCAACAUAAGAACACAAUUCUUCCAGCUCAGGGCUCCUUAAUCUCUGUGUGAUGGAGAAAACUAUUUAUUUUUCUUUAAUUUCCAUCUGGCACAGACUAACACUUUUGUAAAAUACAAUAAAAAUGUGUUUGGAGGAUGU
Molecule: long non-coding RNA, 427 nt
Organism: Aethalodelphis obliquidens (Pacific white-sided dolphin)
Lineage: Eukaryota; Metazoa; Chordata; Mammalia; Artiodactyla; Delphinidae
Exons: 2
Source: RefSeq, a predicted model, not a curated record